RNAcentral lists this transfer RNA (76 nucleotides) under Cervus elaphus hippelaphus. Its description in RNAcentral is "tRNA-Lys". It matches the Rfam family "tRNA". Rfam says of the family: Transfer RNA (tRNA) molecules are approximately 80 nucleotides in length. Their secondary structure includes four short double-helical elements and three loops (D, anti-codon, and T loops). Further hydrogen bonds mediate the characteristic L-shaped molecular structure. tRNAs have two regions of fundamental functional importance: the anti-codon, which is responsible for specific mRNA codon recognition, and the 3' end, to which the tRNAs corresponding amino acid is attached (by aminoacyl-tRNA synthetases). tRNAs cope with the degeneracy of the genetic code in two manners: having more than one tRNA (with a specific anti-codon) for a particular amino acid; and 'wobble' base-pairing, i.e. permitting non-standard base-pairing at the 3rd anti-codon position. The record is from RNAcentral. Lineage: Eukaryota; Metazoa; Chordata; Mammalia; Artiodactyla; Cervidae.
GCCUGGGCAGCUCAGCUAGUAAAGCAUCAGACUUUUAAUCCAAGGGUCCAGGGUUCAAGUCCCUAUCCAGGUGCCA